RNAcentral lists this ribosomal RNA (380 nucleotides) under Daira perlata. RNAcentral describes it as "partial 12S ribosomal RNA". The record is from RNAcentral. Lineage: Eukaryota; Metazoa; Arthropoda; Malacostraca; Decapoda; Dairidae.
GAUACCCUACUAUACUAGGAAAUAACUUAAAGUGCCGGAUUAUUAUUAGAUAUAAGCUUUAAAUUUAAAGAAUUUGGCGGUGGUUUAGUCUUGUCAGAGGAACCUGUUUAUUAAAUCGAUAAUCCACGUAAAAUCUGACCUACCUUUGUUAUCAGUUUGUAUACCGUCAUUAUCAGAUGAUUUUUAGAGAAUAAUCGUUGACUCUAGUAGUAAAGCUAGUAAAAUUAGAUCAAGGUGCAGUUAAUGGGUAGGCUAAAAUGGGUUACAAUAGAAUUUAUUUAUAACGGAUAAGAAAAAUGAAUAAAAACUUGGUGAAGGAGGAUUUGAUUGUAUUUUAAGUUUAACAAGCUUAAAAGAUAUAAGCCCUAAAUCAUGUACAU